This is a long non-coding RNA of Homo sapiens (human), 499 nucleotides long. The record is from Ensembl. Lineage: Eukaryota; Metazoa; Chordata; Mammalia; Primates; Hominidae.
CAUUGGUACCAAAACUUAUCUGUGACAAUAUCUUGAACAUUAAUGCCUUUAAGAGAAAUGCCCUUAAAAAUACCUUUAGCAAGCAUUUCCUUAGCAAACACGCUCCUAGCAACAGAGAGUAAGUUUUGUAAGGGCAUGUGAAUACGAAGGCAGAGACUGGAGUGAUGCCAAGAAAUGUGAAAGAUUUCCAGGAGCCAUCAGAAGCAAGGAAAAACGCAUGGAAAAGAUUCCGAGUGCUCAGAAGGAAGCAACCCUACCACCACCUGAUUUGGACUUCUAAGCUCCAGAACUAAGCGAAGAGGACGUAAAUAUUCCCAUUUAGAAGCCCAAAGUCAGUGAGAUGAAACCCAACAUCAAGAAAUUGAAGCAAAGUUACUUGUGGAUAAACAAAGCAUUAGAUAUUCCCCUGAAGAAAUUUGGAAAGAAAUUGAAAUUGCCUGUGGUUGUAGCCAGUUCACCUGUAAAGAAUAUAAAAUUCUCCCCAUGAACUGGUCAUCCC